AGUGAACGCUGGCGGUAGGCCUAACACAUGCAAGUCGAACGGCAGCACAGUAAGAGCUUGCUCUUACGGGUGGCGAGUGGCGGACGGGUGAGGAAUACAUCGGAAUCUACUUUUUCGUGGGGGAUAACGUAGGGAAACUUACGCUAAUACCGCAUACGACCUACGGGUGAAAGCAGGGGAUCUUCGGACCUUGCGCGAUUGAAUGAGCCGAUGUCGGAUUAGCUAGUUGGCGGGGUAAAGGCCCACCAAGGCGACGAUCCGUAGCUGGUCUGAGAGGAUGAUCAGCCACACUGGAACUGAGCCACGGUCCAGACUCCUACGGGAGGCAGCAGUGGGGAAUAUUGGCCAAUGGGCGCAAGCCUGAUCCAGCCAUACCGCGUGGGUGAAGAAGGCCUUCGGGUUGUAAAGCCCUUUUGUUGGGAAAGAAAAGCAGCAGGUUAAUACCCCGCUGUUCUGACGGUACCAAAAGAAUAAGCACCGGCUAACUUCGUG
RNAcentral lists this ribosomal RNA (492 nucleotides) under uncultured bacterium. RNAcentral describes it as "partial 16S ribosomal RNA". It matches the Rfam family "Bacterial small subunit ribosomal RNA", at positions 29 to 507 of the family's 1533-position model. The record is from RNAcentral.